This 258-nucleotide ribosomal RNA is filed under the name uncultured Staphylococcus sp. RNAcentral's name for it is "partial 16S ribosomal RNA". It matches the Rfam family "Bacterial small subunit ribosomal RNA", at positions 524 to 781 of the family's 1533-position model. The record is from RNAcentral. Lineage: Bacteria; Bacillati; Bacillota; Bacilli; Caryophanales; Staphylococcaceae.
UACGUAGGUGGCAAGCGUUAUCCGGAAUUAUUGGGCGUAAAGCGCGCGUAGGCGGUUUUUUAAGUCUGACGUGAAAGCCCACGGCUCAACCGUGGAGGGUCAUUGGAAACUGGAAAACUUGAGUGCAGAAGAGGAAAGUGGAAUUCCAUGUGUAGCGGUGAAAUGCGCAGAGAUAUGGAGGAACACCAGUGGCGAAGGCGACUUUCUGGUCUGUAACUGACGCUGAUGUGCGAAAGCGUGGGGAUCAAACAGGAUUAG